AGAUCUGGGACCAGGCUAUAGGAGGAGACAACAGAUCUGGGACCAGGUUAUAGAAGGAGCCAACAGAUCUGGGACCAGGCUAUAGAAGGAGACAACAGAUCUGGGACCAGGCUAUAGAAGGAGACAACAGAUCUGGGACCAGGCUAUAGAAGGAGACAACAGAUCUGGGACCAGGCUAUAGAAGGAGACAACAGAUCUGGGACCAGGCUAUAGAAGGAGACAACAGAUCUGGGACCAGGCUAUAGAAGGAGACAACAGAUCUGGGACCAGGCUACAGAAGGAGACAACAGAUCUGGGACCAGGCUAUAGAAGGAGACAACAGAUCUGGGACCAGGCUAUAGAAGGAGACAACAGAUCUGGGACAAGGCUAGAGGAGGAGACAACAGAUCUGGGACCAGGCUAUGACCUUUUCUCACCUGGGUUUCUCUCUGCUGUUUUUGUUGUUGUUGCUCUCUUCCUGUGUGUCACCUUCCAGUCGGGGGGGAUUGUGCUCGUGAAGCGAGGAAUGGCCAACUGUACAUCACAGCUGUCCCUGUUACCUUUUGCCAACAAUGUAACACACACACACACACACACACACACACACACACACACACACACACACACACACACACACACACACACACACACACACACACACACACACACACACACACACACACACACUGAGCCUCUGAGAGUGUACAGUCUACCACAGGAACAAGAGCAGUCAUUUUACAUUGAUCAGAUGCUCUUAUCUGGAGCAACAUACAGGAGCAAUUAGGGUUAAGUGCCUUGGUCAAGGGCACAUCGACAGAUUGUUCAUCUCGUCUGCUCGGGGAUUCAAACCAGUGACCUUUUCGGUUACUGGCCCAAUGCUCUUAACUGCUUGGCUACCUGCCAGUCCUCUCUCUCGUCUCAACCCUCCCUCCCUCCUUCCCUCCCUCUACUCCAUCAGUCAAGACACGCAGCUGAUCCAUUCUGUCACAUUAUCAUCCACAAGCUCCCAGAUCAACUCAGCCAAAAUCAAUGGCCAUAAACCACUAUGGUGUUCUAUCAUGACCCAUAAAACAGGGGUGGCAGUGAGGACCAGGGGUCAUAGAGAUUCUGACUCAAAUCAAGGUUUUUAUUGGUCGUUCAACACAGUGAUGCCUUUCUUGCAAACUCACAAUCCGACACAGCAGUGAUCAAUAUCAAUGUGGCACUACAAAAACACUAGGUAGAGCAAAAACACAAGAAAUAAGAAUAAAAAAACAAUAAAUAAAAAUAAGAAAUAAGAAUAACGGCAGAAAGUAAGAAACUAAAUUAGUGUCCAAUAACAUAUUUAUAAUGUACAGGGAUACUGGAGUGAUGGAGGUAGAUACUGGAGUGAUGGAGGUAGAUACUGGAGUGAUGGAGGUAGAUACUGGAGUGAUGGAGGUAGAUACUGGAGUGAUGGAUGUAGAUACUGGAGUGAUGGAGGUAGAUACUGGAGUGAUGGAGGUAGAUACUGGAGUGAUGGAGGUAGAUACUGGAGUGAUGGAUGUAGAUACUGGAGUGAUGGAGGUAGAUACUGGAGUGAUGGAGGUAGAUACUGGAGUGAUGGAGGUAGAUACUGGAGUGAUGGAGGUAGAUACUGGAGUGAUGGAUGUAGAUACUGGAGUGAUGGAGGUAGAUACUGGAGUGAUGGAUGUAGAUACUGGAGUGAUGGAGGUAGAUACUGGAGUGAUGGAGGUAGAUACUGGAGUGAUGGAGGUAGAUACUGGAGUGAUGGAGGUAGAUACUGUAUGUACAAGGAUGCUGGAGUGAUGGAGGUAGAUAUUGGAGUGAUGGAGGUAGAUACUGGAGUGAUGGAGGUAGAUAUUGGAGUGAUGGAGGUAGAUACUGGAGUGAUGGAGGUAGAUACUGGAGUGAUGGAGGUAGAUACUGGAGUGAUGGAGGUAGAUACUGGAGUGAUGGAGGUAGAUAUUGGAGUGAUGGAGGUAGAUACUGGAGUGAUGGAGGUAGAUACUGGAGUGAUGGAGGUAGAUAUUGGAGUGAUGGAGGUAGAUACUGGAGUGAUGGAGGUAGAUACUGGAGUGAUGGAGGUAGAUACUGGAGUGAUGGAGGUAGAUACUGGAGUGAUGGAGGUAGAUACUGUAGUGAUGGAGGUAGAUACUGGAGUGAUGGAGGUAGAUACUGGAGUGAUGGAGGUAGAUACUGUAUGUCCAGGGACACUGGAGUGAUGGAGGUAGAUACUGGAGUGAUGGAGGUAGAUACUGGAGUGAUGGAGGUAGAUACUGGAGUGAUGGAGGUAGAUACUGGAGUGAUGGAGGUAGAUACUGGAGUGAUGGAGGUAGAUACUGGAGUGAUGGAGGUAGAUACUGUAGUGAUGGAGGUAGAUACUGGAGUGAUGGAGGUAGAUACUGGAGUGAUGGAGGUAGAUACUGGAGUGAUGGAGGUAGAUACUGGAGUGAUGGAGGUAGAUACUGGAGUGAUGGAGGUAGAUACUGGAGUGAUGGAG
This is an RNA transcript of Oncorhynchus keta (chum salmon), 2461 nucleotides long. RefSeq lists it as uncharacterized. The transcript is spliced from 8 exons. The record is from RefSeq and is a predicted model, not a curated record. NCBI's taxonomy places the organism in Eukaryota, Metazoa, Chordata, Actinopteri, Salmoniformes, Salmonidae.